RNAcentral lists this ribosomal RNA (487 nucleotides) under Rattania setulifera. RNAcentral describes it as "eukaryotic LSU rRNA". The stretch from base 193 to 346 matches the Rfam family "5.8S ribosomal RNA". Lineage: Eukaryota; Fungi; Ascomycota; Sordariomycetes; Chaetosphaeriales; Chaetosphaeriaceae. The record is from RNAcentral.
ACAAGGUCUCUGUUGGUGAACCAGCCCAGGGAUCAUUACAGGACUCGCAAGACUCCCGUAACCACUGUGAACCUACCCCUUCAGCGUUGCCUCGGCGUGCGCGCCCCGGGCCCCGGCCCGGGGCGCCCGCCGGCGGCCUACAACUCGUGCAUCAUGUGUUGGCAUCUCCGAGCUUACAAGCAAACGAAUCAAAACUUUCAACAACGGAUCUCUUGGUUCUGGCAUCGAUGAAGAACGCAGCGAAAUGCGAUAAGUAAUGUGAAUUGCAGAAUUCAGUGAACCAUCGAAUCUUUGAACGCACAUUGCGCCCGCCGGUAUCCCGGCGGGCAUGCCCGUCCGAGCGUCAUUGCAACCCUCAGGCCCCCGCGCCUGGUGUUGGGGUCCUGCGCCGCAGGCCCCGAAAGACAGCGGCGGGCGCGUCCCGGCACCGAACGCAGUAGUUACCUCUCGUUCCGGCCCGGGCCGCGCGCUAGCCGUUAAACCCCCC